UUUGACAGCUUCUCAGGGUGGAACUUUUGAAAUACGAGGCAGUAGACUGCCCAGUCGUUCCUAUGGAGUUCAUCAUCAGCCUCACAGGUGACCUAGUGUUCUUUUUGGGGCAGCUGCUGAUGUUUGUGCAUUCCAUGAGCUGACACAGAGGGACAGAGGUCCCUUUUACCAUUUGGUAUCUUCAGUCAAUGGAGUAAGAAAGUUGUCUGAUACCCAAAUCUGAAGGCUAUUAAGAGUGAGAAUUGAGAAUCUGACUCUAUCACACUGAUAAAGAAUUGAGCAGAAUUCUAGGACUGAAUAUUGACCCAGAAACUAUAACUUGGCAGAGAGCAUUUGAAUCCCAGUGAUAGACUUUGGAGGCAGAUCACCUUUGGAGAGUGGUGACUCACACUGAUGUCUCCAUGGUGAGUGAAAUCGUGAGUGUUCUGUCUUUCAACAGAGAGACUGAGGAAAAUGGCGGUGCUAUCUAAUGAGAACGGGGAUGCUACCAGUGCUGAAGAUCUGGGUGUGAGUGGUGCCUUGACAAGUGCUAUGAAGGAUGCAUCAAGCCCAGUCUCAUACAGACUCAGAGGGAAUGCUAAUAUUCAUCUGAUGGACAUGAAGCCCUCUAGCACAGCAGGUCCAACAGCACGAAGACUUGUUGGUUCUGAAUGCUCUAUAGCGAUGGAAGCUGGAUUUGGAGAUAACUUUGUCUUGAAAGCAGUUUUU
This 708-nucleotide long non-coding RNA is filed under the name Homo sapiens (human). RNAcentral's name for it is "non-protein coding lnc-TBCE-6:1". The record is from RNAcentral. Lineage: Eukaryota; Metazoa; Chordata; Mammalia; Primates; Hominidae.